This is a long non-coding RNA of Sarcophilus harrisii (Tasmanian devil), 1864 nucleotides long. RefSeq lists it as uncharacterized. The transcript is spliced from 2 exons. The record is from RefSeq and is a predicted model, not a curated record. Lineage: Eukaryota; Metazoa; Chordata; Mammalia; Dasyuromorphia; Dasyuridae.
UGGGCAAUUACUUAAUCCUGUUUGCCUUAGUUUCCUCAUCUAUAAAAUGAGACAGAGAAGAAAAGGGCAAGCCACUCUAGUAUCUGUCCAGAAAAUCCCAAAUGGGGUCAUGGAGAGACAGGAAUGACAGAAAAUUACUGAACAAAUAAAUCUUAUGUACAAUAUUUCCUCUGAUCUCUACUAUUUUGACAAACCUGUCAAAAAAGUUUGUCAUGAUCUAUUUUUGAUAAAGCCUUACUGGGCUGUUUUUGAAUACAACUUCUUUUUCUAGGCUCAUUAAGAAUCACUUUAAUAAUAUGUUCUAGAAUUUUGCCAGGAAAUGAAGUAGUUGGGGUACAUGAUUAAAAGGGAAUGCUAACAUGCAUCAAGAAACAAUAAUUAUAGUGUAUACAGAGAAGCAUGGAAACUUAAAUGAAUGGAUAAUCAAUGAACAAAGUCAGGAAAGCAAUAUAUACAAUGACCACAACAAGGUAAAUGGAAAGAAUAGGAACAAAACAAUCAAAAUGAAAUCAUAUGAAAUUGUAAUAACCAAGUCUGUUCUCAAAAAAGAGAUAUUUUAAGGUAUGUUUCUUGCUUCUUUGCAAAGGUCAGAAAUUAUGGCGAUGUAUCCCCCUGCACAUAAGGACAAGAUUGAAAACGGACCACUUGGGGCUGGUGAAGCUGUUGACCUUUGUGUCUGUUUCCUACUGGCACCUCAAAUCACUCUGUUUUUACUUCUGGGAACAAGAGAAGAUCCAGAAACAAAUUAGGGGAAAAAAAAGUCAUUUAAAGGGAUGAAGAACCGAAUAGUCUUCAGAGUUAAAGUGAUAAAUAUCUACAAUAACACAUACAAUUAGUUAACAGUGACUGUCAAAGAAGGAUAAAUAUAACUACAAUAUUAUAUUAGCUAAAUUGCUGAAAGUUAUAAAAGGACAUUCCCAAAAACAAAGAAAAGAAAGGUGAAAGAGGAUGGGGAUACAUGUAUGUGGGGGAAGGUAUCAUAGCCAUCCUAAGAUGAAGCUCCUAUCUUUAACAAAAGAAGAAAAGGAAUCCAAGUUAAUCACAAAGUUAAUAGGAUAAAGUACAAGAAUGCUAUUCAAUGUUUCUUUGUUAAGUUUGGCUUAAGAAUUGAAAUUAUAAAAUAUGACAGUUCAUAUUCUCUUUUGAGAAAGCAACUGUUUAUCAAAGUAUGCUUAAAAUGGAAUUUAACAACUGCAUUAUUAAAUGGAAAUGAUUUAAACUCAAUAAAAGAAAAAAGUGAAUUCAAUAAUGUCAUCUUUUUAUACAAAAAUACUCUAGAUUUCCAUUGAAAGCAUAGGUUAAAUUUUAUUAUACUGCUAUAAGAGACAUUGAUUGGAAGUGCCUUCAAUUGAGUUGAUUUUAAUUAUAGGACAUAAUCUUUUUUCUGUGGUCAAGAAAGUAUCUCUCAGUAGUGUGUGGAGGUAUACCCAGUGAUGCUUGGGGGAAAGGGAUAAAUCCUUACAGGGUUUCUUGGACUAGGGCUUCUUUCAAGAUGAUUGCCUAGCCUAAACUCAGUAGUUUGGCUUUUUGUCAGAGCAUCCACCCCUUUGCUUCAACCUAUGAGAGGGACAGAUUACCCUCAAGCUCUUUUCAUCUACUAUUUUCUUCUUUUUAGAUGAUAUACCAUAGUAUAUUAGAAAAGAUCUCUACUAUGGGAAGGAGAGAAGCCCAUACAUUCAGUUCCCUCCCUCCCACCCUAGAAAUUAGUAAUCGCUUCUUUCUUGAAGCAGAAGGACAGGGUUGCAUGGAUUUGGUAACUGCUUUCUGAGCACAGGUCAGGACUGGAGAUUUGAACUACUACAAAAGCACUUGGCAGUGGCAGCUUUUUGCUUGUCUACACAGCCUGAGAGGAGAAUUAUGGCUA